This 492-nucleotide ribosomal RNA is filed under the name uncultured bacterium. RNAcentral's name for it is "partial 16S ribosomal RNA". It matches the Rfam family "Bacterial small subunit ribosomal RNA", at positions 29 to 507 of the family's 1533-position model. The record is from RNAcentral.
AGUGAACGCUGGCGGUAGGCCUAACACAUGCAAGUCGAACGGCAGCACAGUAAGAGCUUGCUCUUACGGGUGGCGAGUGGCGGACGGGUGAGGAAUACAUCGGAAUCUACUUUUUCGUGGGGGAUAACGUAGGGAAACUUACGCUAAUACCGCAUACGACCUACGGGUUAAAGCAGUGGAUCUUCGGACCUUGCGCGAUUGAAUUAGCCGAUGCCGGAUUAGCUAGUUGGCGGGGUAACGGCCCACCAAGGCGACGAUCCGUAGCUGGUCUGAGAGGAUGAUCAGCCACACUGGAACUGAGACACGGUCCAGACUCCUACGGGAGGCAGCAGUGGGGAAUAUUGGACAAUGGGCGCAAGCCUGAUCCAGCCAUACCGCGUGGGUGAAGAAGGCCUUCGGGUUGUAAAGCCCUUUUGUUGGGAAAGAAAAGCAGCAGGUUAAUACCCCGCUGUUCUGACGGUACCCAAAGAAUAAGCACCGGCUAACUUCGUG